This 73-nucleotide transfer RNA is filed under the name Paramuricea clavata. It matches the Rfam family "tRNA". From Rfam's summary of the family: Transfer RNA (tRNA) molecules are approximately 80 nucleotides in length. Their secondary structure includes four short double-helical elements and three loops (D, anti-codon, and T loops). Further hydrogen bonds mediate the characteristic L-shaped molecular structure. tRNAs have two regions of fundamental functional importance: the anti-codon, which is responsible for specific mRNA codon recognition, and the 3' end, to which the tRNAs corresponding amino acid is attached (by aminoacyl-tRNA synthetases). tRNAs cope with the degeneracy of the genetic code in two manners: having more than one tRNA (with a specific anti-codon) for a particular amino acid; and 'wobble' base-pairing, i.e. permitting non-standard base-pairing at the 3rd anti-codon position. Lineage: Eukaryota; Metazoa; Cnidaria; Anthozoa; Malacalcyonacea; Plexauridae. The record is from Rfam by way of RNAcentral.
GACCGCAUAGCUCGGUUGGAAGAGCAUUGGGCUAGUAUUCCAAAGGUCGUAGGUUCGAAUCCCACCGUGGCCG